RNAcentral lists this ribosomal RNA (433 nucleotides) under uncultured bacterium. Its description in RNAcentral is "partial 16S ribosomal RNA". It matches the Rfam family "Bacterial small subunit ribosomal RNA", at positions 29 to 507 of the family's 1533-position model. The record is from RNAcentral.
AACGAACGCUGGCGGCAUGCCUAACACAUGCAAGUCGAACGAAGGCUUCGGUCUUAGUGGCGCACGGGUGCGUAACGCGUGGGAAUCUGCCCUUUGGUUCGGAAUAACAGCUGGAAACGGCUGCUAAUACCGGAUGAUGACGAAAGUCCAAAGAUUUAUCGCCAGAGGAUGAGCCCGCGUUGGAUUAGGUAGUUGGUGGGGUAAAGGCCUACCAAGCCGACGAUCCAUAGCCGGUCUGAGAGGAUGAUCAGCCACACUGGGACUGAGACACGGCCCAGACUCCUACGGGAGGCAGCAGUGGGGAAUAUUGGACAAUGGGCGCAAGCCUGAUCCAGCAAUGCCGCGUGAGUGAUGAAGGCCCUAGGGUUGUAAAGCUCUUUUACCCGGGAAGAUAAUGACUGUACCGGGAGAAUAAGCCCCGGCUAACUCCGUG